AGAACAAAGUGGACGCCAGAGAAUGGUGGUACAGAUGCCCAAAAAACUGUCACAGGGAAGCUCAGGGGCGGAAUGCAGGAGAGGCCUGGGUACCACACUCCUGUCCCUUUCACAAAGAACGGCAAAUGGCAAGGGACGAAUUGUGUAAGCACCAAUCUCCAGGCUGCACGUGUUUGGUCCUUCACAGAAAUGUCCUCGCUCCUCUUUGUUUCUCGCCCCAACUCUUUCCACUCGUUCCAUGAUGCACUCAUUCCUCACUGGACAGAGCUGGUUGUACAUCUGAUAAGCACUGAUCGGUUUCACCAGAGCCAAGUUCUCUCCCGUGAACUAGACACGUGCUGUUUCAUUUAUUCUUGACAGCGGUACAGCAAUGGGCAGGUGUCAAUAUCAUUGUCCCCCAAUCUACAGAGGGGGCAGAAAAUUGGCUUCCUAUUGCUGCCACAUCAAAUGGGCACAUACUUCGUGGUCUUAAACAGCACAUACUGUCGUCCAGAACUGGGGGUCAGAAGUCCAACCUGGAUCUUGCUGAGCUGACGUCAGGGUCAGCUGGGUUGCCUUCCCAUGGAAGUUCUAGGGGACACUCUGUUUUUCCCUGCUUCUGGAGGCCACCUGCACUUCAUGACACGUGACCUUCCCCGUCUUCCAAUCCAGCAGCCGCAGGUCCAGCCUCCUCCAUGGUGGGACUCCGACACAGACUCCUUUUCUGCCUCCUGUUCCCAAGUUUAA
RNAcentral lists this long non-coding RNA (726 nucleotides) under Marmota monax (woodchuck). The record is from RNAcentral. Lineage: Eukaryota; Metazoa; Chordata; Mammalia; Rodentia; Sciuridae.